AGAACAGCCAGAGCAGAGAUCCACCUGCCUCUGCCUCCUGAGUGCUGGGAUUAAAGGCGUGCGCCAGUAUGCCUGGCCAGACUUCUACUCUUGAAACUUCUCUGACUCUCAAAUUUUUGGCGGGACAGUAACUACCUGGACUAGGCACCAAUCCCAUGAAGAUCUCUAAUCCCACAGACUGGCUCUACUUACCUGGCCUGUACACAGUCCCACUACGAGGUCAGCGAUGAACGUGUCCUCAGUUUCUCCAGAGCGAUGACUCACCAUUACCCCCCAGCCAUUCUCCUGGGCCAGCUUGCACCUGCAGUGUACACCAGCACUGACCUGCCCCGAAGCACCGAAGCACAGCUAUUCCCUCCCAGCCCCGGGCUUGAUCUACAUCAGAAAGCACCUGGAGGAAGGUGACUAAGGGACAUGAGGGCAAAUCAUGAAGUAUAGAGAGACUAGAAGUGAGAUGAAGGGUUCUCCAGGAUUCCAAGGCAGAAUCCAGGUAGGAGGGCUCGCCAGAGAAGUCCUGAAUGAACGAGGACCAGGUGGGAGGAGGCCAAAAGCCACUCACGCUUGGAUGGCUUCUGUGACUGAGCCGAUCUGAUUGACCUUGAGCAGCAAGCAGUUGCAGGCCUUCUCCUCCACUGCCCGCUCGAUGCGCUUGGGAUUGGUCACCGUCAGGUCAUCGCCCACUAUCUGGAUGCCAACGUUGGCUGUGAACUUGGACCAAGCUGCCCAGUCAUCCUGGUCAAAUGGGUCUUCAAUGGAGACCACUGCAGAGGGAGUGGACAGGAGCUGGUUCUUCCCAGAGAAGCCUGCUCUGAUGGAAGCCAAUUGCCUCCGUGGAGUGGGACAGAGGCUCCUGAUGGAGAUUCUGUGCCUCAGUUAUCCCCCUCAGGCAGCCGCAGCAACUCCAUUCAGUAUCUACUUUCAUCAAUCAAAUAUACUAAAGCUGGGCACUUUUCUGUCACGUCCAUUCAUGUUUUUCCCAUCCUUGGCCCCUUCCAGAGCCCUCCCUAGGACCCAAGAAACUCUCAGAGCCCAGGGUCUGAAACAGACAGGGGAGUCCCACCCCAGCUUCAUGUGCAGUCACAUGACACUUUGAUGUCAUGUGACUGCGACGCUCUGCAAGAACCUACUGCCCCUUCUCCCUGCUUCUCAGCCUCCUCAGGACCUCACCUGCCCCAGACUCUGCACCCCAUAAAGUUCACCUUUGCCUAGCUCCAGUCUUUCCCUUUCCUAUCCCCCACAAUCCCUCACUCUCACCAGGAUAAUUCCGGACAAAGUCCUGGUAGAGUGCCCCCAGCUGGUCCCCAGUGAUGUAUCGGGAAGGAUCAGCGGGAGACUUGAAAUCCAAGUCGUAUUUGCCAUCGCGGUAAAACUCAGAGGCAGCCACAUCCAUGCCGAUCACCAUCUUUUCCGUGUAGCCAGCCUUGUCGAUGGCUUCCUUCACCAGCUCCAAGGCUAGAGACAAAUCCAGUGAAGUUACGGGGCUCCAAGCUCACAGCAAGCCUUGUACUUCAGCCUCCCGAGUGUUGGGGGUUCCAGCCCAUAAUGCUUCAGAGUGCAAAGAAAUGCAAGUAAUCUGAUU
This is a long non-coding RNA of Mastomys coucha (southern multimammate mouse), 1579 nucleotides long. RefSeq lists it as uncharacterized. The transcript has 3 exons. The record is from RefSeq and is a predicted model, not a curated record. Lineage: Eukaryota; Metazoa; Chordata; Mammalia; Rodentia; Muridae.